This 1222-nucleotide long non-coding RNA is filed under the name Cricetulus griseus (Chinese hamster). Its description in RNAcentral is "lncRNA (ENSCGRG00015035401.1)". Lineage: Eukaryota; Metazoa; Chordata; Mammalia; Rodentia; Cricetidae. The record is from RNAcentral.
GUGACUGUGUUUUCGCUUUCGGUCUCUUUUUUGGGCUUGUGUACAGACUGCUGCCACGCCAGCUGACUAGGUCGCUCUGACAAGAAGGACCCAGCAGAUGAAGAUGACAGUGGGGUGUGUGAGAAUCCAGAUGGAAACGUCGACAUGCAAAGGCUUAAAGUGUGAAGAACCUUGAUUGAGAAGAAAUGUGAUCGAGCAGAGGAAUCAAUAACACAGCGAUUGGGAAGGGGCAAGGCCACUUGUAGGGAGCGGAUGAAGUCCCGAGUGAAUGUGUGUCACUGACAUGAGUCUGGCCAUGUAAAGGACCCAAUAUCUCAAACCCACGGGAAUGGCAAGCUCCCCCUUAUCUAUCCAUGCUGGAAUUGUUGACUGGCUCGCUCUUGUUCAGGCAACCACAGCUCCAAGUGAGGCAAUGAGUGCCCCUCAGUCCUGUCAUGGCCAGAAGACACUGUUUUUUUCCCUGCUCCUCCCCAGGGUUUCUGCCUCCUCUUCUGAAAUGUUCCUUGGGCCUUGGAGAAAGGAGGUAUACGGCCGAUGUCCUGUUUAUGGCUGAGCACUCCACAGACACGUGUGCUCGGCACGUUGACCAGCCCUGAGUCUUUGUAUUAACUGCUGUCCACUGCACAGCGGUGCUUCUCUGGUGAAGUCUAAAAGUGUGCUUAUCUAGGGAUAUAGCAAUGCAUGUUUAGAAGGCAGCUUGGUACUACGAUCAUUAUGAAAAUAAUAGUAGUAGGGUCCGCACCAGGGACUACAGGAUUCCCCAGUUACAGGUUCUUGGCUACAUUUACAGUACCAGGCAAGAGUUUCCUCCUGUGGUGUGGGCCUUAAAUCCGAUCAGAAAGUGGUUGGUUAUCCCCAUAAUAUUCAUUCCAUUAUUUCACUCAUGCACUUGUAUUUCCAGAUUGCAGCUCACAGGGUUCACACCAUGAAAGAGUGUUGAUGACUUUGCUCCUCCUGCGUAGGACUUGCUGCUACUAGGCAAGCUAGCCAUCAAGAGGCAGCAUCUGUAUCAGUAUCCACUUGAUUUCUCCAAGUAUUGUGACCAAAGUGUGUGAUGUACCCACAGUUCUAGUGGGCAAUUAAUGGCAAGGCCAAGGCCUGCAUUGUUUUGCAGGUCUCUGGGGCAUCUUCCUUGCCAGCCUGGCACUAGGCUUUGUAUUUGGCAACAUAUGGCUUCUGAGAGGACAUUAUUCCUCAUGUAGGGUAACUUCAAUUUGAGCUC